UCCUCGUAUCUCCUUCUGAUUCAUUCAUGUCUUAGCGGGUCGUAAAGGAUGCUAAAUAAAUAUGUAUUCUUUUUUCAUUAAUUGUUAAACAAUAAAUUUGAUUAUCAAUUAAUAAAGAAUGCUACAUUA
This 129-nucleotide small nucleolar RNA is filed under the name Tetrahymena elliotti 4EA. Its description in RNAcentral is "Tetrahymena snoRNA TtnuHACA18". It matches the Rfam family "Tetrahymena snoRNA TtnuHACA18". Lineage: Eukaryota; Ciliophora; Oligohymenophorea; Hymenostomatida; Tetrahymenidae. The record is from Rfam by way of RNAcentral.